GACGAACGCUGGCGGCGUGCUUAACACAUGCAAGUCGAACGCUGAAGCUUGGUGCUUGCACUGGGUGGAUGAGUGGCGAACGGGUGAGUAAUACGUGAGUAACCUGCCCUUGACUCUGGGAUAAGCCUGGGAAACUGGGUCUAAUACUGGAUAUGACAUGCCACUGCAUGGUGGUGUGUGGAAAGGGUUUUACUGGUUUUGGAUGGGCUCACGGCCUAUCAGCUUGUUGGUGGGGUAAUGGCCUACCAAGGCGACGACGGGUAGCCGGCCUGAGAGGGUGACCGGCCACACUGGGACUGAGACACGGCCCAGACUCCUACGGGAGGCAGCAGUGGGGAAUAUUGCACAAUGGGCGGAAGCCUUAUGCAGCGACGCCGCGUGAUGGAUGACGGCCUUCGGGUUGUAAACCUCUUUCAGCACGGAAGAAGCGAGAGUGACGGUACGUGCAGAAGAAGCGCCGGCUAACUACGUG
RNAcentral lists this ribosomal RNA (472 nucleotides) under uncultured bacterium. RNAcentral's name for it is "partial 16S ribosomal RNA". It matches the Rfam family "Bacterial small subunit ribosomal RNA", at positions 28 to 507 of the family's 1533-position model. The record is from RNAcentral.